This 721-nucleotide long non-coding RNA is filed under the name Helianthus annuus (common sunflower). RNAcentral describes it as "hypothetical non coding rna". The record is from RNAcentral. Lineage: Eukaryota; Viridiplantae; Streptophyta; Magnoliopsida; Asterales; Asteraceae.
GGCCUAGUCCCACACGUGGCAACCUUAUGACCAUUACGUGUCCCUUACGGACCGUAAGGGAUAAGUCUUACGGUCCGUAAGCCUGUCAAAUUUCGUGUAUAAAUAGCAGGCAUCGGCAUUUGCAGUCUGCUCUUCAUUCGACGAUUAAAUUCCGAUUAUACACCGAGUUAUCAUCCAAAUGCUCUAAAAACACACACGCGAAUCACUAAUUAGUAUAGCAGGGUGCUGCUACGAUACAGGGUAUUAAUUCGAUCGCUAUUACGAUUCAUUUUCCGACCGAUCAAUAUAUCCAAUGGAUGUUUAAGUGCCACCCACAUUAGGGUUAUACUUUGUCGUUCGUCGUUAAUUCGAUGGAUGUUUAAGUAUCGCACUUUGUCGUUCGUUGUGAGAAUUUGAUCUCGUGAGUUAUCGUAACUGUUGUAUUAAGUUACCUACCUAGUUCGUAUGCACUAGAUUACAAGGCUAAAUCAACAGGCUAAGCUCUGCCUGUGUAAAUCUGCAAUAUAUCAAGGCUUAUCUGUAGACUAAACUUUGGCCGUAUGAAUCUGCAUGAUUAUAAUGUAAUUACAGUAGAUUGGAGUAAGGAUUGGAUCCGGCACUAAAAGACAUCAAGAAGUGGCUUAUUUUAUUAAUUAAAUCAAAUUAAGAAAUAUUGUAUUUAUUAAAAGCUACCUUUGUAACAAUGGAAUUUAUUCCAUCUAUUUAAAUAAAAUCCGGUGUU